UACGUAGGUGGCAAGCGUUGUCCGGAAUUAUUGGGCGUAAAGCGCGCGCAGGCGGUUCCUUAAGUCUGAUGUGAAAGCCCACGGCUCAACCGUGGAGGGUCAUUGGAAACUGGGGAACUUGAGUGCAGGAGAGAAGAGUGGAAUUCCACGUGUAGCGGUGAAAUGCGUAGAGAUGUGGAGGAACACCAGUGGCGAAAGCGACUUUCUGGUCCCAAACUGACGCUGAGGCGCGAAAGCAUGGGGAGCGAACGGG
Molecule: ribosomal RNA, 253 nt
Filed under: uncultured bacterium
Lineage: Bacteria
Description: partial 16S ribosomal RNA
Rfam family: Bacterial small subunit ribosomal RNA
Source: RNAcentral